UGUACCACCUUGUCGGGUAGCUUAUCAGACUGAUGUUGACUGUUGAAUCUCAUGGCAACAGCAGUCGAUGGGCUGUCUGACAUUUUGGUAUC
Molecule: microRNA precursor, 92 nt
Organism: Ursus maritimus (polar bear)
Lineage: Eukaryota; Metazoa; Chordata; Mammalia; Carnivora; Ursidae
Source: Ensembl